Molecule: transfer RNA, 64 nt
Filed under: Pollicipes pollicipes
Lineage: Eukaryota; Metazoa; Arthropoda; Thecostraca; Pollicipedomorpha; Pollicipedidae
Description: tRNA-Asn
Source: RNAcentral
UUAACUAUAGCUAUUACAAGCAAAAUCACUGUUAAUGAUUAGAUAAGUCCGCACUUUAGUUAAG